RNAcentral lists this long non-coding RNA (1135 nucleotides) under Mytilus galloprovincialis (Mediterranean mussel). Lineage: Eukaryota; Metazoa; Mollusca; Bivalvia; Mytilida; Mytilidae. The record is from RNAcentral.
GGUCUAACAAUCUCUAUGAAUAAGAGAUGUGAAAAUGCAAACAAUAAUAGCUGUUUCACUUUUACUUAAUCAUAAACAUUAUGGCUGCCACCAGAAACAGCAUGUCUGGCAUUAGCAAUUACUACCUUGAUGUUUUAAAAAAAAACAGGUUUAAUCCACCAUUUUCUACAUUUGAAAAUGCCUGUACCAAGUCAGGAAUAUGACAGUUCUUGUCCAUUUGUUUUUGAUGUGUUUUGUUAUUUGAUUUUGCCAUGUGAUUAUGGACUUUCCGAUUAGAUUUUUCUCUAAGUUCAGUAUUUUUGUGAUUUUACUUUUUAGAAAACAUUACAACUAGCUUCUUAAUUUAAGGCCAAGUAUGAUUUUCUUGGCCUUAAAUUAUAUGUUUACAUAACUUUUGAAUUUUCUAAAUUCUAAGGCUUUUUUACCUCAGGAAUAGAUAAUAUUAGCUGUAUCCGGCAAAACUGUAAGAAAUUUUGGUCCUCAACUCUCUUCAACUUCAUAUUUUAUUUGCCCCUUUUUUUCCUUUUUUUAUUCGAGCAUCAAUGAUGAGUCUUGUGUAGACGAAACGCGCGUCUGGCUUAAAUACAAAUUAUUAUCCUGGUAUCUAUGAUGAGUUUAUUUACAACCACUGGGUCGCUGCCACUGCUGGUUGAGUUUAAAUUCCCCAAGGGUAUCACGAGCCCAGUAGUCAGUUGACAUGAAUUAUCAUUGAUAUGGUCAUAUUUAUAAAUUAACUGUUUACAAAACUUUUGAUUUUUUAAGUUCUAAGGCUUUUCUACCUCAGAAAUAGAUAACCUUAGCUGUAUUUGGCAAAACUUUCAGGAAUGUUGGUCCUCAAUGCACAUCAACUUUGUAUUUUAUUUGCCUCUUUUUUUUUUUUUUUUUAUACCAGAAUCACUGAUGAGUCUUUUGUAGACCGAACGUGCAUCUGGCGUAAAUACAAAAUUUAAUCCUGGUAUCAUUUUCCCCAAGGCAAAUUUUUGUGCUUCAAUUUGCCUUUUGAAACAUUUUUUUUCAAACAAUGUUAUACAUGACUAGAAAUAUUAAUAUUGAACUAAACAUACAGUCAGUUUUUGUUCUAUUAGUCUUCAAAAACGAAUGAUUAAAAAUCAGGUGUAUUUUUAUCUGAAUUUAG